Molecule: ribosomal RNA, 460 nt
Filed under: uncultured bacterium
Lineage: Bacteria
Description: partial 16S ribosomal RNA
Rfam family: Bacterial small subunit ribosomal RNA
Source: RNAcentral
CCUACGGGUGGCAGCAGUGAGGAAUAUUGGUCAAUGGACGAGAGUCUGAACCAGCCAAGUAGCGUGAAGGAUGACUGCCCUAUGGGUUGUAAACUUCUUUUAUAUGGGAAUAAAAUGUUCCACGUGUGGGAUUUUGUAUGUACCAUAUGAAUAAGGAUCGGCUACCUCCGUUACAGCAGCCGCGGUAAUACGGAGGAUCCGAGCGUUAUCCUGAUUUAUUGGGUUUAAAGGGAGCGUAGGUGGAUUGUUAAGUCAGUUGUGAAAGUUUGCGGCUCAACCGUAAAAUUGCAGUUGAAACUGGCAGUCUUGAGUACAGUAGAGGUGGGCGGAAUUCGUGGUGUAGCGGUGAAAUGCUUAGAUAUAACGAAGAACGCCGAUUGCGAAGGCAGUUCACUGGACUGCAACUGACACUGAGGCUCGAAAGUGUGGGUAUCAAACAGGAUUAGAUACCCCGGUAGUC